UAAUUCUUCGUCUUAUUUGAACUUUUUUGCGAUUAAUUUUUUUAUUGUUACUAGAUGAUAAAAUAUAAAUAGUACUUUAUACAUGACUAAUUUUUUUAAGUUUUUGAAGAAAUUUUUCAAAUAAGACGAAUGAUCACACGGAAAAAC
Molecule: microRNA precursor, 147 nt
Filed under: Oryza brachyantha (malo sina)
Lineage: Eukaryota; Viridiplantae; Streptophyta; Magnoliopsida; Poales; Poaceae
Description: MIR812 microRNA precursor family
Rfam family: MIR812 microRNA precursor family
Source: Rfam by way of RNAcentral